GUGAACGCUAGCGGUGCGCCUAACACAUGCAAGUCGAACGGGUUCAGACCCGUGGCGAACGGCUGCGUAACACGUUGGUACCUGCCCCAGACUCAGGGAUAACCCCGCGAAAGCGGGGCUAAUACCGGAUGGUCUCGAAAGAGUAAAGCUUUCGCGGUCUGGGAGGGGCCUGCGGCCUAUCAGGUAGUUGGUAAGGUAACGGCUUACCAAGCCUAUGACGGGUAGCUGGAUUGAGAGAUCGACCAGCCAGAAUGGGACUGAGACACGGCCCAUACUCCUACGGGAGGCAGCAGUGAGGAAUCUUCCGCAAUGGGGGCAACCCUGACGGAGCGACACCGCGUGAAGGAUGAAGACAGUUUCUGUUGUAAACUUCUGUUCUGAGGGACGAAAUUUUUGACGGUACCUCAGGAGAAAGCACCGGCUAAUCUCGU
Molecule: ribosomal RNA, 431 nt
Filed under: uncultured bacterium
Lineage: Bacteria
Description: bacterial SSU rRNA
Rfam family: Bacterial small subunit ribosomal RNA
Source: RNAcentral